Long non-coding RNA from Equus caballus (horse), 979 nucleotides. Lineage: Eukaryota; Metazoa; Chordata; Mammalia; Perissodactyla; Equidae. The record is from Ensembl.
UGCUAAAAUAGUAAUUUCAUCUCCUUUCCUCACUAACUCAUUUAUGCAUUCAGUAAGUGUUUUCUGAGUACCUAUCAUGUGCACUAUCUGAGUACCUAUUUUGGGUGAUGGAGUACAUUUUGUUUAGAAAUUUACAAAAGCAUUUUAAUUUGCAGGUAAUAUAACAGAAAUCUGCAUAAAGUAGAGAAAGAGGAAAAAAGAUGAUAUUGAUUAACUCCACUGAGAAUCAAAGGAAGUGGGAUGGUGAUCAGGAAAAGUUUCACAGAAGAGAAAAGAUCCAGUAGAGGAGAGACUGGAAAUAUAAGAAAGAGAGAAAUAAAGUGAGACAGGAAGAAAAAGAGAGAAGGAAGACAGAAGAUGGAGGAGAGGAGAGAGAACAGAGAAAGAAUCAUGUCCAGAAGAGGAAUUCUUGGAGUGUUGAGCUAAAAAGGAUAGAGAAGAGGAAAAGUCUAACAGUCGGAAAAAAAAAAAAAAAGGAAGAGAUAUUUCUUUCUCUAGAGUGAGAUGGAUUUCAUCCAAGAAAAUCCCACCAUUCAUCUCAACUCCUUCCUUCACAGACUAUGCUAUCACCUGAAUCACCUACUGUGGACUGGAGUCAUGCCAGUACUUAGAAGGAAGCACAGCAAGAGAAAAUUCACAGCAUCAUUUGCAUCUCUGAAUCCAACCAGUGCUGAAAAUUUCUCUACCCCUGAACUUUCAAGAAAAAAGGGCUAAUAAAUCCUCUUAUUUCAGCUAGCUUGGAUUGGGUUUCUAUUGACUUUCAAAUCAAAUAAUUAACAAAAUUUGUAGAAAUUGAGACCAGGAUUGCAAUGUUGAAAGUAUCAUACUCCAAAACAAGGAACUGAUUGAGAUAAGAUAAAUUGGAGAUCUUUUGAGGGGAGAAGUAAGAGGGAGCUCCAUUGGUUACAUAUUAGAAAAAGAGAUGGUUAAACUUCUAUCAGAAUUUCAGCCCAUGUGCAUACCAAAAACAGAAACGUAG